CAUUGAAUGGCUGAAAUUUAAGCAAUGGUCUCUUAAACCAAUAUAUAGUAUUUUGUACUUUCAAUGA
RNAcentral lists this transfer RNA (67 nucleotides) under Haemaphysalis sulcata. RNAcentral's name for it is "tRNA-Lys". Lineage: Eukaryota; Metazoa; Arthropoda; Arachnida; Ixodida; Ixodidae. The record is from RNAcentral.